AUACGUAGGAUGCAAGCGUUGUCCGGAAUUACUGGGCGUAAAGGGUCCGUAGGCGGUUUGUUAAGUCUCCUGUGAAAGUUCAGGGCUCAACCCUGAAAUGUCGGGGGAUACUGGCAAACUUGAGACUGUCAGAGGCAAGUGGAAUUCCCGGUGUAGUGGUGAAAUGCGUAGAUAUCCGGAGGAACACCAGUGGCGAAAGCGGCUUGCUGGGACAGUUCUGACGCUGAGAGACGAAAGCGUGGGUAGCAAACCGGAUUAGAAACCCCGGUAGUCC
Molecule: ribosomal RNA, 274 nt
Filed under: uncultured bacterium
Lineage: Bacteria
Description: partial 16S ribosomal RNA
Rfam family: Bacterial small subunit ribosomal RNA
Source: RNAcentral